This 398-nucleotide ribosomal RNA is filed under the name Tatianaerhynchites aequatus. RNAcentral describes it as "SSU rRNA". It matches the Rfam family "Eukaryotic small subunit ribosomal RNA", at positions 441 to 803 of the family's 1831-position model. The record is from RNAcentral. Lineage: Eukaryota; Metazoa; Arthropoda; Insecta; Coleoptera; Attelabidae.
UUACCCACUCCCGGCACGGGGAGGUAGUGACGAAAAAUAACGAUACGGGACUCAUCCGAGGCCCCGUAAUCGGAAUGAGUACACUCUAAACCCUUUAACGAGGAUCAAUUGGAGGGCAAGUCUGGUGCCAGCAGCCGCGGUAAUUCCAGCUCCAAUAGCGUAUAUUAAAGUUGUUGCGGUUAAAAAGCUCGUAGUCGAAUCUGUGUCCCACGCCGCCGGUUCAUCGUCCGCGGUGUCAACUGGCGUGUCGCGGGACGUCCUGCCGGUGGGCUUAGCUCGCGCGGGCGGCCCAACUCAAUCCUGCCGCGGUGCUCUUCACUGAGUGUCGAGGUGGGCCGGCACGUUUACUUUGAACAAAUUAGAGUGCUUAAAGCAGGCUAAAACUUCGCCUGAAUACU